This 253-nucleotide ribosomal RNA is filed under the name uncultured bacterium. RNAcentral describes it as "partial 16S ribosomal RNA". It matches the Rfam family "Bacterial small subunit ribosomal RNA", at positions 524 to 776 of the family's 1533-position model. The record is from RNAcentral.
UACGUAGGGUGCAAGCGUUGUCCGGAAUUAUUGGGCGUAAAGAGCUCGUAGGCGGUCUGUCACGUCGGGUGUGAAAUCCCCAGGCUUAACCUGGGAACUGCAUUCGAGACUGCAUUGCUAGAGUAUGGGAGAGGGAAGUGGAAUUUCCGGUGUAGCGGUGAAAUGCGUAGAUAUCGGAAGGAACAUCAGUGGCGAAAGCGACUUCCUGGACCAAUACUGACGCUCAUGUGCGAAAGCGUGGGGAGCAAACAGG